AUGAACGCUGGCGGCGUGCUUAACACCUGCAAGUCGAACGAAACACCUUAUUUGAUUUUCUUCGGAACUGAAGAUUUGGUGAUUGAGUGGCGGACGGGUGAGUAACGCGUGGGUAACCUGCCCUGUACAGGGGGAUAACAGUCAGAAAUGACUGCUAAUACCGCAUAAGACCACAGCACCGCAUGGUGCAGGGGUAAAAACUCCGGUGGUACAGGAUGGACCCGCGUCUGAUUAGCUGGUUGGUGAGGUAACGGCUCACCAAGGCGACGAUCAGUAGCCGGCUGGAGAGAGUGAACGGCCACAUUGGGACUGAGACACGGCCCAAACUCCUACGGGAGGCAGCAGUGGGGAAUAUUGCACAAUGGGGGAAAACCUGAUGCAGCGACGCCGCGUGAGUGAAGAAGUAUUUCGGUAUGUAAAGCUCUAUCAGCAGGGAAGAAAAUGACGGUACCUGACUAAGAAGCCCCGGCUAACUACGUG
Molecule: ribosomal RNA, 480 nt
Filed under: uncultured bacterium
Lineage: Bacteria
Description: partial 16S ribosomal RNA
Rfam family: Bacterial small subunit ribosomal RNA
Source: RNAcentral